Long non-coding RNA from Ficedula albicollis (Collared flycatcher), 223 nucleotides. RefSeq lists it as uncharacterized. The transcript is spliced from 3 exons. The record is from RefSeq and is a predicted model, not a curated record. Lineage: Eukaryota; Metazoa; Chordata; Aves; Passeriformes; Muscicapidae.
UUUUGUCCGUGUUGCUGAGCAAGCACACUUUCAAUUCUGCCCCAGGUGUUUUCAGAUUUAUUUUGAACCUGCUGAUGUAAUAGAUGCAGUGCAGUGGAAUGCUUGGGAAGAUGUUGAAGGCUUCACUCUCAUAUCUACACUGUGUGAUGCCAACCUGCGCUGAGUGACUGAAUUUCCCAAAUUCAGAAACAUCAAGGAUGAAAAUCUUGGAUGCUUCUUGUCA